CGAGAAGUCCACUGAACCUAAUCAUCUAGAGGAAGGAGAAUUCGUAACAAGGUUUCCGUAGGAGAACCUGCGGAAGGAUCAUUG
Molecule: ribosomal RNA, 84 nt
Filed under: Hebecarpa costaricensis
Lineage: Eukaryota; Viridiplantae; Streptophyta; Magnoliopsida; Fabales; Polygalaceae
Description: partial 18S ribosomal RNA
Rfam family: Eukaryotic small subunit ribosomal RNA
Source: RNAcentral